AUUGAACGCUGGCGGCAUGCCUUACACAUGCAAGUCGAACGGCAGCACGGGUGCUUGCACCUGGUGGCGAGUGGCGAACGGGUGAGUAAUACAUCGGAACAUGUCCUGUAGUGGGGGAUAGCCCGGCGAAAGCCGGAUUAAUACCGCAUACGAUCUACGGAUGAAAGCGGGGGACCUUCGGGCCUCGCGCUAUAGGGUUGGCCGAUGGCUGAUUAGUUAGUUGGUGGGGUAAAGGCCUACCAAGGCGACGAUCAGUAGCUGGUCUGAGAGGACGACCAGCCACACUGGGACUGAGACACGGCCCAGACUCCUACGGGAGGCAGCAGUGGGGAAUUUUGGACAAUGGGCGAAAGCCUGAUCCAGCAAUGCCGCGUGUGUGAAGAAGGCCUUCGGGUUGUAAAGCACUUUUGUCCGGAAAGAAAUCCUUGGCUCUAAUACAGUCGGGGGAUGACGGUACCGGAAGAAUAAGCACCGGCUAACUACGUG
This 486-nucleotide ribosomal RNA is filed under the name uncultured bacterium. RNAcentral describes it as "partial 16S ribosomal RNA". It matches the Rfam family "Bacterial small subunit ribosomal RNA", at positions 30 to 507 of the family's 1533-position model. The record is from RNAcentral.